RNAcentral lists this long non-coding RNA (21681 nucleotides) under Capsicum annuum. Its description in RNAcentral is "long non-coding RNA (CANN_LNC003424)". Lineage: Eukaryota; Viridiplantae; Streptophyta; Magnoliopsida; Solanales; Solanaceae. The record is from RNAcentral.
ACUGGGAAGACUUACUUGACCCUUUGGAUUACGAUCUUCGACUAUACCUCAUUCACUAUGGCCAAAUGUGUCAAGCCAUCUACGACUCAUUCAACAAUGAGGAAGCUUCUAAAUACAGAGGAACAAGUCGAUACUCCAAAAAGAACCUCUUCACAAGAGUGGGGCUCGACAAACACAACCCCUACAAAUAUGAAAUCACUAAAUAUGUAUAUGCAGCUUCACAUGUACCAAGUGAAACUGAGAAGGUGAAACAAUCAAACUGGAUUGGAUAUGUUGCUGUUGCCGCUGAUGAGGGUAAAAUUGCAUUAGGCAGGAGAGAUAUUUUAAUUGCUUGGAGAGGGACCGUGAUGGUCUCAGAAUGGAAUGAUGAUUUUGAAAAUUCAUUGGUCCAACCAACAGAAAUCUUUGGAGAAAAUACGAAUAACAUUCUAGUACACAAAGGUUUUUAUUCAAUUUAUACUUCUCUUAACGAGGCUUCGGAUUUCAAUCGAACAACCAGUGCUAGAGAUCAGGUAGUACACCAUUUUUCUUUCUAUAUUUUAAAGCAAUUUUCUAGGGGUUUACUCAUUAAAAUUCUCUUUUGUAUUUGUACAUUAAAACAGGUCCUUGAAGAAGUUAAAAGGUUGUUGGAUCAAUACAAGGAGGAGGAAGUGAGCAUCACUGUUACGGGCCAUAGUUUGGGUUCAUCAUUAUCCACACUAUGCGCGAUUGACAUAGUUGUGAACCAGAUCAAUAAGGAGUUUCCAGUGACUGCAUUUGUGUUUGCUUGCCCACGAGUCGGAGAAAAGAAUUUCAAGAAAGCUUAUGGCAAACUGAAAACCCUUCAAAUCUUACGCAUUAGCAAUGCGUCUGAUCCUGUUCCGAAAUUACCAGAGCGUGGAGUCGUAGACGGUUCUGAAAAUGACUGGAGAGUGUAUGAAGAUGUUGGAUUUGAACUGUUAAUGGAGACAACAAAGUCAAAGUACUUGAAGAAAUGCAUAAAUAGUCAUAUUCUGGAGGUUUAUUUGCACGGAAUUGCUGGAACACAUGGACCAGAAGGAGAGUUCAAGUUGGCAAUAGUUCGGGAUAUUGCUCUUAUGAAUAAGGCAGCCGAUGUGUUGAAGGAUGAAUAUGGUGUGCCGGUGUCAUGGUGGAUCGAGAAGAAUAAAGGAAUGGUUCAACAAGAAGACGGGUCUUGGAUUCUCAUGGAUCAUGAGGAUGGCGACACUUAUUUCUUACCAUAGAUUGUGAUUUGUUAUCUAAUCUCUGGGUUUUAUUGUAAAACUUCAUGUAUUCAUCAAGUGCCAGUAAUAAGCGAGUACGAUAGUCUUUUACUACACGGGUUUUAUCAUAUUUGUUCAGAUUAAAAGGGAUUGAGUGCUUAAAUGAAUCAUAGCAAAUCUGUUUUAUUUAAUUUGAUGUUCAUACCAGAGCAGUGGGUCACGCAAGCCUUUUAUCUCUUUUCAUCUAUUUUCAGUAAAGUGGAUGCUUUGAAUUCAUUCAGAUGUACUUGUCCUUCUUCCUUCAGUGCUGACUUAAAUGGAUUUGUGUGCAUUAAUUAGGAUCAUCUUUUAAAAUUUUGUACUACUAUAAGAUGGUGACAGGAACUUGCUUGAAAAUAUAUAAUGCAUUAGAAAAUUAGUAGUAAUUCAGAUGGCUAGCCAGUUUGUUAGCAACCAAAAUAUUUUCUGUGUGGGGACUGACACCAAAGCCAUUGCCCAAUCGAAUGGGUUGAUUUGGGUAUUUCAACUUCAGAGUUUAAUUGGUAAUUCACCGUUCUGAUCAUUUCAGCUCAAGUUGGAAUGGUCAUACAUAUCAUUGGCAUGACACAAUUUAUUUUCUACGCUCUUGAUAUUAUUUGGCCGCUAGUUUCUCGAGAAUCAAUGUAAGACUUAAAAUUACUAGACUAUCACAUACUUGCUAAAAUUCAAAGGCGUUAUUAGUGUUUGGGCAAUUGGAAGAGAAUCGAUGUCAUGGGGAAACCAGAGGAGUGGUGGUCACUCUAUGCUCUAGUUAGUUAUUGCUAGUGUUUUCUCUAUUCUCUAUAAUUUCAAGAUAAGUGUACUGGCUUACUCUUUUUUUGGGUGUUUUAUACAUCUCUUUUAUGUUUUUGUUUGCACUGUUUCUUAUUUUAACAUUUUUCACAUAUAACAAAGUUGAUUUUGAACACUCACCUAAUAGAAAUUAGGCAUAAUACAUAACCACGUCCUUUAACUUGACAUCAGUUCACAUCUAUGACCUUCAAUUUUCGAUGUGCAUUAGUAUACACUUAAACCUGUAUAAAGUUGAACGAGUAGACACGUCCGUCAUAUGCGGUAUAAUACACGUAGGAUGCAAUGUGAGACAUGAAUUGGCCACGUAGAAUGUCACAUAGGACGCAUGUGUCUUUUUGUUCAACUUUAUACAAGUUUAAGUGUCUACUUAUAUACAUUCAAAAUAGGAAGACAUAGAUGAAAGUUGAAGCCAAAUUAAAGGACAGAUUCAUUCUAAAGAAUUGGCGAUGCCAAAACUCCUAAAUCCUCAGAUAAUGGCUAUAUUCUCAUGCAUUUCAAAUAGACCACCUAUUUUUCUUUUUCACUGAAAUGGUUUAAUAUGUCCUGAUGUAUGUACCAUGCGCAAAGUAAAUUCUAAUAACCAGUGAUUUCUCAAGCAUGUUGCAAGCUUAUUAUCUGUUUAUUUGACAGUCUUCUAUGAUUUUUCUAGCAACUAAAUUACUGGUUGAAGAAUAUUUUAUUGUUCUUCCAAACAGUAGAAAAAGAAUCUAUUUUUCUUCUUUUUACUAGAUAUUGUGCAACUUUGAGAAGUCCAUUUUCUACGAUGUAGUUUGAUUCUCUUUCAGUUUCGUUGUUGGAAUAACUGCCAUAACUAUUUAUUCUAGAGGCUAUGUGAUGCGGUAACUCCUAAAAUAUGCACGUAAGGUUUUAACCAUCUAAAGGUUAAUAGCAUCAACUGUAAGGAAUUUGUACAUGCUUAUGUAGUUUAACAAUAGCAUAUAUUUGGAAACUCUUACCUCUUUUGACCUCUAGAUAUACCAUUGACACCCUGCACAGUUGUACUUCAUCUUAAAUGAGCAUGUAUAAGAGUCGCAUGUAAAAAAUUUAUAGGUAUUUGAGUGUUCGAAAAUGGUGUGGCUCUGUAGGCUCUAACCAUUGCAAAAUAGUACCUGUUUAUUAGCCUGUUGCCUUAACACCAUUUGCUUGUGAGAGUAAGGUUUCCCUUUUUGCUCGUCUGUUGGAUGCUUUUGUUUACAGUGUGCAGAACAUGAGGUAGAUAUCUGCGUCUGUGUUAUACUCCCCCCUUUAAAUGGAUGAUGAGGUUGAAAAAAAUUCAAUGUCGUGAGUGUUGUCACCACUAGGAAAAUGUGUUGCAAGAACAUAUGUAUGAACUGUCACCAUUGUAAGACUCUGCAAAAAGUCAAAAGGAUCUAUUUGGUAAUUCAACAUGGGUUCUACUGAUGAAUGAUGACCGUAUGAAACCCAUUUCUGGCUUGUGUAGCUUUGCUGGAUGUAAUUUCUUCAGACACAUGGAUUACUAGUAUUUGAACUUGUAAUCAAUCUGGAAACACCUUAUUCUUUCUAUUGGAAAUAUUAACAUCAGUUAAUUUUCCUAAGGGUAGUUUAGUCAUUUUACUCUCUUAGUUUGUUGAGUCGGUUAUUGUAGUCUAUAAAUAGACAGCUGUACUGUAGCAUUAGUGAGUAAGAAAGAUCAGUUUUCUUCUCCUCUCAUUCGUUCCUUGUUGGCUUCAAUGGUGAAGUAGAAGUUGUGAUUGUUUCUGUAAUUUCUAGUAGAUUUCAUUUGUUCGUUGAUAAGUUAACAUGGUAUCAAAGCCAGACCCAUCUCACCCAAUGUUGGGCCUCCGGAUUGAGAUUCGGGAGAGAUUUUCCACGCCCACUAUUGGGCCUCCAGAUUGAGAUUCGGGAGAGAUUUUCCACGCCCAGAGGGGGAUGUUAGAAGAAAGAGAAGAAGAAAGUCCCACAUUGGUGGUUAAUGAGAUGGUUGGUCUCCUUAUAAGGCUUGGGCAAUCCUCCUCAUAAGCUAGCUUUUGGAGUGUGAGUUAGGCCUGUGAGGUUGUGAGAUAAAUAAAUGAGAUGUUUUUCUCUACUCCAGGUUCUUUCUGACCUGUGCAGUGAUGACAUGGAUGUUGGCAUAAAGAAACUUGGUGUCAUUGAUAGUUAUCCUUUUCGCACUGCAUGCAAACAGAAAUUCUCGCGUCAAGUUGCCGAGGAAAAAGCGAUAGAAUGGUGUUCUAUUUGGCAGACAGCUGUGGAAGACCCCAACUGGAAUCCAUUCAGAACUAUAUCACCUCAAAUGGGGAAGUUGUAUGUAUCUGGAUCGUUUCUUCUUUCUAUGUUGCUCGGACACUUCAAAAAUAUAGUUGCGCACAUAAGUUCUUGAAUUCAUGUAGUUAAAUGAUGCAAUAAAAGCACUCCUACCAUAAUAAAUGAGUAAAACGGUACAACAAAAUGAUUAUGUAAACUGAUUUCCUAUUUUCUAUGAUCUGAUAAAAUAAAUAAAGUUAUUGGUACAAUUUGUACUCUCUGAAUUUCUGUCCUUCCAUCGAAUUCCACCUGAACUGUUUAUCAGGUGUCCCCUACAGGACAUUUUCAACUGAAUUCUUUGUACUUUAAAUUACAUGAUCAAUGCAAGCCUUCUUAAAACCUAAGUUGCGCGGACUAUUCACUUUCGAUGCCACACCCAUGCUGGAUUCUCCAAAAAUUACACUAGUUUUGGCGAAUCCGACAUGCACCCGUUAGACAUUUUUGAAGAGUCCGAGCAACUUUGCUUAAAACCAUUGUUUGUGCUUCACGAAAUGGUAGACAGAGAGGACAAGGAACUCCAGCAGCUGAGGAAAGACUGGGGAUAUGAAGCAUAUUCAGCUGUUGUUAUAGCCUUGACAGAAAUCAAAGAGUAUAAUACAAAGGGUAGAACCAUGACUCAUCAUCUCUGGAAUUAUGAAUGAGAACCUAAACCACUUCUUUUUAGAUGAUUGCUAUUCACUCAGCUCAAAAUCUACUCCGAUUAUACAGUUCCAAUCUAUCUAAGAGCAGAAUUCUAGGACAACACAAUCAACACUUUAGAUUGAAUUGGAGGAAAAAAAUGAGUUUGAGAUUCUAACUCUAAGGAAUGUACCAUAUUUUAUUUGUUUGAUUGCCCAUUUUAUAUAUGAAUUUUUACUGGCCGUAUUAUUUUAUUGGAUCAGUGGGAUGACGCUGACAUGAGUUUAGCUCAAAUGGAGAAGCAUGGUCAAUGAGGAUUCAUAUAGCCGACCCCAACUUGUUUGGGAUUGAGUCAUAGUUGUUGACUUGUUGUAAUAGGAUAAUAAAGGGAAAGGGAGUUCUCUGUAUGAAAUAGAACAGUUGUGCCAUGUUUGAUUUUUUCUUAAUUAAUUACCAUUGGAGGUUAGGUUUUGAGUCUCUACAGAGACAAAAUGUUUGGAUUUAUUCUCAUCUGCGUAAGCUUUGGUGGUCAAAGUAACCCGGGCUUAUACCAGUGGAAGAAUGGAGGUACCUGUGAAAAGUCGAGGUGCACAUGAGUGACCUGAACAGCGAACUAUCACACUUACCAUGUUUUUGGUUCAAAAAGCUCAUACAACUUCUUUCCCUCCGUGUAGGAAGACCACUGGCCUCCAAUUAUGUUAUGUAGAUUUUAGCUGCUUUGAAAGAAAAUAGUAUGGCUGUGGUAUAUUGUAACGCCCCACAUCGUCCAUGCGUUAGCUCGUGGUAAUAUGCUCUUAGAGUUAAAUGACUAGAAUAGUGUCAAAGAGACUUAGUCUCAUUUUUUUGACUUCCAAAGUAAGUAAAGUUUAAACCAUAUAUAAUUUCCCUAAUUUCAACUUUUUAUCAUGUGGAAAAUUGAAUGAGCUUUCCGUCGAUAUAAGAUUCGCCCAAAUCCGAUAUCCGGGCAAAAAGUUAUGGCUAGUUUAAGUCGUAGUCGUAAAACACCAUCAUUUUGGUACUUGGCGCGUCGCGGAGGGGGUCUACUUAGCAAUUGUCAAAUUCCAGUAGCCUAGCGCAAUUGUGGCGCGGCGCUGAAGUUUUAGGUUCCAACCAGUGGGACAACGCUAUGGCUCCGCGUCGCGGUGACCUUAAGAUUCCCAUUCAUCAAAUUUCAGUGAGCCACCGCGAUUGUGGCGCAUCGCGGUGGCCCAUAAAACUGGGCUCCCAGUUAUAUUUUAUUUCGUCUCAUUAAGGGCAUAUUAGGUAUUUUUUCACCCCCUUAUCAACUUAAACAUGGGAUUACACUCCCAAGUGACCACAUUAUUCAUAUUUUCAUCAAAAAUUCACAAGAACAGUCUCUAGGGUUUCAAACUAAAAACCCAAAUAACUCAAGAUUUAACCGUGGCUUUUCAAGAUUGAUUGAAGAUUCGGAAUUCCCAAACUGUAGGCUUCAAGAAUCAUCCAUUAUUUUCUGUAUUGAGGUACGUGGGGUUUUCCUAAAAAUCUCACAGGCAUAGAAAUCAUGUUUUUUAAGAAAAGGGUUUUAGAUUUAUAAUUUAUAAUCAUGUUUUAGAAGUCUCAAUGAUAUUGUUUUGGUCUUUAGGCCUUUCCCCAAAUUGAUUUAAAAUUCUAUAUAUAUGUAUGCAUGUGUUUAAGGAUGAAUAUUCAAUUGAGAGCAUGAGUUAUAAUGAAUUCCUCUCUUGAUAUGAUUUUUCCCAUUAUUCGUAUGAUAUGGAUUGUUUUGAAAAACAUGUUAUGAAAGGUCUUGAAUUAUACUAUGAUUUGAACAUGAUUGUGAAAUCAAAAGGGUUGUGCAUGUUGAUAAAUGUUGAAUAUACAUAUAAUGAAAGAGUGCAUGGUUUUGCCAAAGGUACAUGACCACCAUAUGUUUGAAGAAUUCUUGCAUAGUUUUGACUUAUGUUUCGAAACAUGAAAUCUCUUAUACUAUUUGCAUGUUUGGGUGGUCUGAAUUGAGUUCUGAUGAAAGAAUCAUGCAUGAUGCAUUAUGGUUCAGAAAAAGGACUUGCAAGUUUUGGAGUGACGACACCAAUUCAGAUAAUGCCAUGUUAAUUUAAAACAGAAUAGAAUGCAUGUUUGAAAUUAGAUUUUUAGAUUUUGAAACUAGAAUGAUGCAUGUUUCAGAACAGACUAAAAUUGGGCAUGAAGAGAGCUUAGGUGAUUCCCCAAAGAAGGCACGAGUUCAGACAACUCAUUGCCCCAAACCAUGAUUUGCCGAUCCGAGUAUAUUAUUAUACGCUGGCCUACUGCCCUAUGGCGUAUCAGACUCAGACACUCCAAUCCUUGCGGCACACUUGGGUUGGGGGCUUUUCCACCGAGUCAAUAGCAGAUUCCAUAUAACCCGUGGAAUAUCAGACUUGUAGGGGAGUGCCGCCUAACUCAGAAGUAAUACAAAGAUUAGAGGCUGUAUUGACAGAAAAGUUUUAUGAUUAUCAAAGAUGCCUAUGUGUUUUGGAAUUUAUAUCGUAUGUGAUGUUUUAUGACUAGCUCUCAACUAUUUUAUUUAUAUUAAAAGUUUUAUUUUGGAUUGCUCUGCGUACCAGUAUAUCUGUAUGUAUUGACCCCCUACCUCCCAGGUUUGGAGGCUCAGUCCAAGGGUCUGGCUAAUUAGUAGAGUAUUCCAGAGAGAAGUGAUCCAUUCAGUGGUAAGCCUUCUUUGUUCCAGAAGGCCUAUUAUUUCAGAUUAUGUUAUUCCGUUGUUUUGGUCUACUGUGGGCCUUGUCCUAGUUUUCAGAAUAGUUUUGAGAUGUAAUAGAGAUUUGGUAGACUGAGUCAGAUCUUAUUUAGAUGUUUUGAAUUGUAACUUUCAUUCCUAUGUCUUAAAACUCAGAGUCAAUGACCAUGUUUCCGUAUCAGAUUAUAUUUCCAUAUAUUCUCUUAUUAUAUGAAUAUUGUGCAUGACUGCCAGAUAGAGUAGGACAUUCGGGCCUUCAUAGUUGGGGAUGUCCGUCAUAGCCAGGCCCUAGUCCGGGUCGUGGCAAACUUGGUAUCAGAGCACGGUUCAUGGUCUCAGGGUGUCUACGAAAUCGCGUCGGGUAGAAUCUUAUUUAUGGGUAUGUAAUGCGCCACACUUAUAAGCAGGAGGCUAUAAGACAUUUAGGUAUGUCUCUCUUCUUUAUGGUUUAGUUCAUGCUUUAGAGUCUUAAUUGUCCCCUAAUUAAUGGUCUCUUGUGUUUCAGAGAAACAAUCAUGCCUCCCCGUCGUACUAUCGAUCAGAAUGCAUAGAUAGAUGAGGUCCAUCCCACUCAUAGGAUAAGGACUCAAAAUAAAGCUCAGACUCUGGAGAUUGAUGCUACUCUGGGAGUCCUACCUACUCGGACUAGCCCACCCAGGGCACCCAGAGCUCCCCGGAUGGGGACUAAUCACACUCAGCCUUGAGAGAGAGAGGUAUCUAAUGCAGAAUUCAGACAGUCUAUUCAUAUGCUUACAUAGUUGGUAGCCACACCGAAUCAACGGUCGAAAGAUGUUGGGUCUGCAUCGGUCACAUCUGAGGCUACUAGGGUGGGUCAGUUAAUGAAAAUGAACCCACCCAAGUUUUCAGGUACCAAAAUAGAGGAGGAUCCACAGGAGUUUAUGGAUGAGGUAGAGAAGAUCUUCAAGGUGAUACAUGUAGACGAGGUGGAAGGGGUGGAAUUAGUAGCUUACCAGCUUAAAAAAGUUGCGAACCAGUGGUAUAAUGAGUGGGAGGAUUCUAAGGGUAAGAGUGCUGAGUCCAUGGUAUGGGGCGAGUUCAUGGAAGCCUUCCUUGAUCGGUUCUUUCCCCUUGAGUUGAGAGAGGCCAAAGCUGAGGAGUUUAUGAACCUUAAGCAAGGAAAAAUGAGUGUCAAGGAGUACACUCUGAAGUUCAACCAACUGGCUCGUUUUGCUUCGGAGAUGGCUGGUAAUAAAAGAGUCUGAAUGAGGAAAUUUACAUCCGGCCUAUCGGAUGACUUAGUGCUUGAAUGUAAGGGGGCUAUACUGAACAGGGACAUACACUUUUCUAGGCUGUUAGUGCAUAUGCAGCAGGUAGAGGAGCAGAAAAAAAAGAAUCGCUGAAUCUAGGGAGAAGGACAGAUAGGCAAAGAGAGCCAGAACAGCGGAUCAGAACCACAGUCAACCACAGAGUGGUAAUUAGGGAAAUAAAUGGCAGUAGAACAAGAAUUGGGGUAAUGCUCAGUCCGCAGCUAGCGUCCAUACCUCUAGUAGAUCGACGACCUCAGAGUUUCCAAACUAAUCAUAGAUCCAGAGCUCAGGAUACCCAGUCAAAGGGCAGCGUAGCUUAGCAACAUCGUACGUUUCCGAGGUGUGAGACCUGUAGUAGGCAUCAUCCAGGGAGGUGUCAGCUGGGUUCGCUGGUACACUAUUCAUGUGGUCAGUCGGGUCACUUUCAGAGAGAUUAUCCUUUGGCUAGAAGGAGUGUUUGUGGUGCUAAAUAUCAGGCAAAUUCUUUCGCACCACCAUUUCCCAAAAAGGGCGCCACCUCAGCUGCUGGGAGUGGUCGCAACUAGCUGUAUGCGUUGUCCAACCACCAGGAGGCGGAAGCCUCUCCAGACGUAGUCACCGGUAUGUUACAAAUCUUUUCUCGUGAUGCUUAUGUAUUACUUGAUCCCGGGUCUAUCCUAUCUAUAUGACCCCUUAUAUGGCUAUCAGUUUUAGGUUUGAGCCCGAUGAAAUUUCAGAACUUUUCUAUAUUUCCACUCCGGUGGGUGAUUCUAUUGUAGCUAGGAGAGUGUAUAAAAAUUAUGUGGUGACUGUUUGUGGCCAGGAUACCGUGGCAGAUCUCAUAGACCUAGAUAUGAUUGAUUUUGAUGCUAUUCUAGGGAUAGACAGACUUCAUUCGUGCUAUGCCACAUUAAAUUGUAGAACCCGAAGAGUCACUUUUUUUUCCGAAUGAACCAGUGAUAGAAUGGGAGGGGCAUUCUUUAGCGCCUAGAGGGAAUUUUUUAUCUUAUCUCAGAGCCUAUAAACUUAUCUUCAAAGGUUAUUUAUAUCAUCUUAUUUGGGUUAAAGAUUCUAAUGCCGAAAGUCUUCCUCUCCAGUCAGUCCCUGUGGUAAAUGAGUUUCCAGAAGGCUUUCCAAAAGAUCUCCCAGGAAUACCACCUGAUAGGGAGAUAGAUUUUGGUAUUGAUUUAUUGCCGGACACCCAUCCCAUUUCUAUUCCGCCAUAUAGAAUGGCUCCUGCAGAACUGAAAGAGUUAAAAGAACAGCUAGCAGACCUUUGAGACAAAGGUUUUAUACGUCCCAGUGUUUCUCCCUAGGGUGCACCUGUACUCUUCAUGCGAAAGAAAGAUGGUUCUCUACGUAUGUGCAUAGAUUGCCGCUAGCUAAAUAAGGUCACUGCUAAAAAUAAAUAUCCUCUUCCUAGGAUUGAUGAUCUCUUUGACCAACUUCAGGGUGCUAAAUAUUUUUCAAAGAUAGACCUUCAUUCGGGAUACCAUCAGUUGAAAUUUAGAGAGUCAGAUAUUCCCAAAAUAGCUUUUCAAACCAGAUACGGUCAUUACAAAUUUCUAGUCAUGUCCUUUGGGUUGACUAAUGCCCCUACAGUCUUCAUGGAUCUUAUGAACAGGGUGUUCCAUCAGUUUCUAGAUCUGUUUGUUAUAGUUUUCAUAGAUGAUAUUCUGAUUUAUUCCAAGAGUGAGAAGGACCAUGCCAAUCACCUCCGAAUCAUCCUUUCGACUCUCAAAGAUCAUAAAUUAUAUGCAAAAUUUUCCAAGUGCGAAUUCUGGCUUAAUACUAUUGCUUUCUUGGGGCAUAUCGUAUCUAGUAACGGGAUUAAGUUUGAUCCCUAAGAGAUUGAGGCAGUGAGAAAAUGGCCCAGACCCAUGACUCCAAUCGAUAUUCGAAGCUUCUUGGGUUUGGCAGGGUAUUAAAGAAGAUUUGUAGAGAGUUUUUCUUCCAUAUCUACACCACUUACUAAGUUGACUCAGAAAAAGGUGAAGUCCAUGUGGUCUGACUCCUGUGAGAAUAGCUUUGAGAAGUUAAAAGAUAAGUUGACAAUUGCUCCUAUUUUGACUCUUUCGAAAGGUACAGAGGGGUUUGUUAUGUACUGUGAUGCAUCCCGUGUGGGACUUGGGUGUAUACUUAUGCACCACGGUAAGGUGGUGGCCUAUGCAUCUAGGCAGUUGAAGGUGCAUGAGCGAAAUUACCACACCCAUUACUUGGAGUUAGUGGCUGUGGUGUUUGCGCUUAAAAAUCUGGCAACAUUAUCUCUUUGGGGUACAUGUUGAUAUAUUUACUGACCACAAGAGUUUACAGUAUAUUUUCUCGCAGAAAGAAUUAAACCUCAAACAAAGACGAUGGUUGGAGCUUUUAAAGAAUUAUGACAUGAGCUUGCACUACCAUCCGGGCAAGGCAAAUGGGGUAGUCGAAGCCCUCAUCAGGUUGUCUAUGGGCAGUCUUUCUCGUGUUGAAGAAGGAAAGAAAGAGGUGGUGAAAGCUAUUCACCGCCUUGAAGAGUACGGCUCUUGAAUUCCGAAGAUGGGGGAGUGGUUGUUCAUGAGGUAGAUAAAUUUUUGCUUUGUGCAGAAGUUAAAGAGAAGCAGGUUGAAGAUCCUAUCUUAAUGUAGAUCAAGAAAGAUGUGGGUCAGCAAAAGGUGAUGUUUUUUGAAAUAGGUGGUGAUGGUAUUUUAAGAUAUCAGGCUCGACUAUGUGUUCCAGAUGUAGAUGGGUUACGAAAAAGAAUCCUUGACGAAGCUCAUGCCUCGAGGUAUGUUUUUGAUCCAGGCUCUACUAAGAUGUACCAUGAUCUAAAGACCUUAAAUUGGUGGAAUAAUAUAAAGCGUGAUGUGGUUAAUUAUGUUUCCAAGUGUUUGAACUGCCAACAAGUUAAAGUAGAACAUAUGAGGCCAAGUGGUACGUCCCAAGAGAUAACUUUUCCUUUGUAAAAGUGGGAGACGAUCAAUAUGGACUUUAUUACGGGACUUUUGAGGUCCCAAAACUAGUAUGAUUCUAUUUGGGUGAUUGUUGACAGGCUGACCAAGUUAGCACAUUUUCUGCCUGUGAGGACCAACUAUUCGGGAGAUGAUUAUGCCAAGCUUUACAUUAAGGAAAUAGUUCGCUUGCAUGGAGCACAUGUAUCCAUCAUAUCUUACCGAGGUACGUAAUUCUCUUCUCAGUUUUGGAGAUCUUUGCAGAGGGGCUUAAGUACCUAGGUGAAUCUGAGUAUUGCAUUCCACCCUCAGACUGAUGGGCAAACUGAGCGCACCAUUCAGACCCUUGAGGAUAUGUUGAGGGCUAGCGUGAUUGACUUCAAAGGUAGUUGGGUAGAUCACUUACCAUUGAUAGAGUUCAUAUAUAAUAACAAUUAUCAUGCCAGUAUUAAGAUGGCUCCUUUUGAGGCACUGUAUGCGAGAAGAUGUAAGUCGCCAAUAGGGUGGUAUGAAGUGGGUGAGACACAGUUGUUUGGGCCUGAUCUUGUUCAUCAGGCAAUGGAGGACGUAAAGAUUAUUAGAGAACGACCUAAGACUGCCCAGAGUAGACAAAAAUCCUAUGCCGAUGUCAGAAGAAGGGAGCUAAAAUUUGAAGUUAGUGAUUGGGUAUUUAUAAAAAUCUCCCCUAUGAAGGGAGUUAUGCGAUUCGGGAAGAAAGGUAACCUGAGUCCUCGCUAUAUAGGACCAUACCAGAUUUUGAGAAGGAUAGGUGUAGUUGCGUAUGAGUCAGAGUUGUCUGCAGAUCUGGGUUCUGUUCAUCUCGUAUUUUACAUAUCCAUGCUGAAGAAAUAUAUUAGAGACCAUUCCUGGUGUUGCCUGUAGAAGAGAUCAAGGUGACAGACUCAUUAGCAUAUGAAGAGAAAACUAUUGCAAUCUUAGAUCGCCAAGUUCAGCAGUUGAGAAGUAAAGAGAUAGUGUCAGUUAAGGUGUUGUGGAGAAAUCAGAAAGUUGAAGAAGCAACUUGGGAAUCAGAAGAUGACAUGAGAGCAAGAUACCCAAACCUGUUUGAUCCGGUGAAUGACGAAACGGAAGGUACAAUCAUUGCUUUAUUCUUUUACGGUCUUAGUAUACCUUAAAUCGUGCUUGUCUGUGUUCCGCGUCAUCAUUCGGGGAUUAAUGAUCCCAAGGGGGGAUAAUGUAAUGCCCCAAAUUAUCCAUGCGUUAGCUUGUGGUAAUAUGCUCUUAGAGUUAAAUGACUAGAAUAGUGUCAAAGAGACCUGGUCUCAUUUUUUUGACUUUCAAAGUAAGUAAAGUUUAAACCAUCUAUAAUUUCCCUAAUUUCGACUUUUUAUCAUGUGAAAAAUUGAAUGAACUUUCCGUCGAUAUAAUAUUCGCCCAAAUUCGAUACCCGAGCAAGAAGUUAUGGCUAGUUUAAGUCCUAGUCGUAAAACACCGUUAUUUUGGUGCUUGGCCCAUCGCGGAGGUGGUCUACUUAGAAAUUCUCAAAUUCCAAUAGCCUAGCACGAUUGUGGCACGUCGCGCUGAAGUUUCAGGUUCCAACUAGUUGGACAACGCGUUGGCUCCGUAUUGCGGUGACCUUAAGAAUCCCAUUCAUCUAAUUCCAGUGAGCCACCGCGAUUGUGGCAUGUCACGGUGGCCCAUAAAACUGAGCUCCCAGUUAUAUUUUGUUCCAUCUUAUUAAGGUAAUAUUAGGUAUUUUUUCACCCCCCUUAUCAGCUUAAACACGGGAUUACACUCCCAAGUGACCACAUUAUUCAUAUUUUCAUCAAAAAUUCACAAGAACACUCUCUAGGAUUUCAAACUAAAAAUCCAAAUAACUCAAGAUUUAACCAUGGCUUUUCAAGAUUGAUUGAAGAUUCGGAAUUCCCAAACCGUAGGCUUCAAGAAUCAUCCAUUAUUUUCUGUAUUGAGGUACGUGGGGGUUUCCUAAAAAUCUCAUGGGCAUAGAAAUCAUGAUUUUUAAGAAAAGAGUUUUAGAUUUAUGAUUUAUAAUCAUGCUUUAGAAGUCUCAAUGACAUUGUUUUGGUCUUUAGGCUUUUCCCCAAAUUGAUUUAAAAUUCUAUAUAUAUGUAUGUAUGUGUUUAAGGAUGAAUAUUCAAUUGAGAGCAUGAGUUAUAAUGAAUCCCUCUGUUGAUAUGAUUUUUUUCAUUAUUCGUAUGAUAUGGAUUGUUUUGAAAAGCAUGAUAUGAAAUGUCUUGAAUUGUACUAUGAUUUGAACAUGAUUGUGAAAUCAAAAAAGAUGGUUGUGCAUGUUGAUAAAUGUUGAAUAUACAUAUAAUGAAAGAGUGCAUGGUUUUGCCAAAGUUACAUGACCAACAUAUGUUUGAAGAAUUCUUGCAUAAUUUUGACUUAUGUUUCGGAACAUGAAAUCUCUUAUGCUAUUUGCAUGUUUGGGUGGUUUGAAUUGAGUUUUGAUUAAAGAAUCAUGUAUGAGGCAUUAUGACUCAGAAAAAGGACUUGCAAGUCUUGGUGUAACGACACCAACUCAGAUAACACCAUGUUAAUUCAGAACAGAAUAGAAUGUAUGUUUGAAAUUAGAUUUUCAGAUUUUAAUACUAGAGUGGUGCAUGUUUCAGAACAGACUAAAAUUGGGCAUAAAGAGCGCUUAGGUGGUUCCCCGAAAAAGGCACGAGUUCAGAUUACUCAUUGCCCAAAACCGUGAUUUGCCGAUCCGGGUAUAUUAUUAUACGCUGGCCUAGUACCCUGUGGUGUAUCAGACUCAGACACUCCGACCCUUGCGACACACUUGGGUUAGGGGCUUCCCUGCCGAGUCAAUGACGGAUUUCAUAUAGCCCGUGGAAUAUUAGACUUAUAGGGGAGUGCCACCUAACUCAGAAGUAAUACAAAGAUCAGAGGCAGCAUUGACAGAAAAGUUUUAUAAUUAUCAAUAGGGGUGUGCAUCGGUUGGUUCGGUUCGAUUUUAUAUACUAUCGGUUAGAUUUAUUAAUUUUUAAAUAUGCUAAAUCAAUAACCAAACCAAUAAGAUAUUUCUUAUCGAUUUUCGGUUUAUCGAUUUUUUGUCCUUAAUGGUUCGGUUUUUGGUUUAACCGAUAAGAAAAUACUCAUAAAAUAGAAAUAGUAACUAACAUGAAAAAAAUGAAUCUUAGUUGCAACCAAAAAUCCUAUAUGAUGUGUUUUAAUUUAUAAGAAUCUUGAAGUUUGAACUAAAUGUUGUUAGAAGAAAUUAAGAGUUUGUAUCAUUGAAAUAAAAGGUUUGUUAAUUUGUAGAAAUUAAAGAGAAAUAUAUAAUAGGUCAUAUAUAUAUAUUCUUAUUGGGUUAUCGGUUUACCCAAUAACCCAAUAAGAAAAAAUCGAACCGAACCAAUAACCCAAUAAUUUUUUUAUAAAACCAUUCAAAAACCGUUAACUCAAUAACCCAAUAACAAUAAACCAAUAACCUUUUUAUCGGUUCGGUUUUUGCACACCCCUAAUUAUCAAAGAUGCCCAUGUGUUUUGGAAUUUAUAUCGUAUGUGAUGUUUUAUGACUAGCUCUCAACUAUUUUAUUAAAAUUAAAAGCUUUAUUUUGGAUUGCUCUGCGUACCAGUACACCUGUAUGUAUUGACCCCCUACCUCUCAGGUUCGGAGACUCAGUCCAAGGUCCGGCUAAUCAGUAGAGUAUUCCAGAGAGAAGUGAUCCGUUCAGUGGUGAGCCUUCUUUGUUCCAGAAGGCUUGUUAUUUCAGAUUAUGUUAUUCCGUUGUUUUGGUCUAUUGGGGCCUUGUCCUAGUUUUCAGAACAAUUUUGAGAUGUAGAGAUUUCGCAGAUUGAGUCAGAUCUUAUUCAGAUGUUUUGAAUCGUAACUUUCAUUCUCAUGUCUUGAAACUCAGAGUUAAUGACCAUGUUUCCGUAUAAGAUUAUAUUUUCGCAUAUUCUCUUAUUAUAUGAAUGUUGUGCAUGACUAUCAAAUAGAGUAGGACGUUCGGGCCUUCAUGGUUCGGGAUGUCCGUCACUGCCAGGCCCUAGUUCGGAUCGUGAUAUAUAUGCUUUAGAAAUAUAUGAGAAGUAUGCAUUUCUCUAGAGGUAUAUAUAGAAAAUAUGCAUUGGUGUAAUGGAGAUAUAUUAAAAGUAUGGAUCUCUGUAAUAACACUUUCUCUAUUUAGCAUUUGUCAAGGUGGAUCAGUUGAUGCCAGGGACCGAGGGCAGGAAUCUAAUUGUCAAGGUCCUAAAUACUGAUGUGGUGGUUGACAAGAGCCAAAAUACUGAGCAGCAGUCCUAUCUAUACUCAUAUUCUCAAUUGCGAAUCACACGUGUAGCUGAGAGCGUUGUUGGAGAUGAAACUGGAACUAUCAUAUUCACUGCUCGUCAUGAACAAGCUAAGGUAAUGCCAAUCUUCUUUUUCUCUUUUGUUGCCUUAACAUAAGCUCAUUUUCUGUGAGCUGACUGCAGUCCAAGUCCUAGAUUGGUCUAUCCAGUCUCCACUAUCAAGGAACAAUAACAAUAGUGACAAAUUUGAUUGCUAUUAGCAUAAUACCUAUUGCUUGUGCUUAUGAUAGCUGUGGAUUUGUCAUGUGGUUGACUUGAUGGAGCCAGGUAACAUCCUACUUAUUUAUGGUGCAAAAAUCCAAAUGUAUCGAGGUUUCAUGAGGUUAGCUGUUGACCAUCGAGCACAAAUCAUAAUCGCAGAACCAGUGGAAUUUGUAGUAAAUGAAGAUUGCAGCAAGUCUUUGGUUGAGUACGAGGUAAUCCCGAAAUAUUGAUGAUGAAGAAAGAACUCAACACUAUUCAUCACCUUAGACCUGCAAGGUGUCUCUACCUUAAAGAAUGCCUUGGUGUAUAUUUUUUGUAUUUUCUCGGUUCAGAAGCUCACUGUAUCAGCUGAUUGCCCAAAAGGCUAUUAGUUUGUAGCAUUUCAGUGGUAAAGCUUUGAAUUUUGCAUGCUGUUCUCAGCCUUAGCAACGCACUUCCUUCAUCAUGUCAUUCUCAUAUCAUCUUUUAAUUUGAAAAGUUUUGGUGGUUUAUGUGUAUCAAAUGUAAAUCAAAAGACAAAUCUUCAUUUUGUUUAAUUUCAAAUGAUGCUCCAUCCGUUAGGAUCCUAUUAAAAAAAUGAUAGCUAUAAUAACUUUACCAUACUAAGUGAUGUUUAAUAAUAGGUAUUGGAAAAUGAUUUGAAGAAUAAGUAAUUAAUGGUAAGAGUAGAAUAUGAAAAAAAUUUGACUUUUUUAAUUUUGUCAAAAAUGACAAGCAAAAAUGAAGUUCGAAUGAAAAAAAUAGUAACAAAUAAAUCUGAAUGAAUGUUGUAAUUGAGAGCGCGUCAAUUGGAAAAGAAUGUUUCAAGUUGUGCGUCUUCGAUGGGGUCUCUGAGGACAAAAAAGAUACACUUGAAGUAAAAAGUAUGCACUGUCUAAAGUUUGCUAAUUUUUGCGGGUACUUUACAAAGCUCUAAGUGGUUUGAAAUUUUGAAGUAAUUGUUACUCCCUCAAUUCUUUUAUAAUUUCUCUUUUUGGGUUGUAAUUUUAUUUCUAAGUAAAUGUUUGUUUAAGCCUUCAAGAAUAUUAUGAUUAUAAUCUUUUGGAAAAAGGCUUAAAUAUGUCACUGAACUAUUAGAAAUGACUCAUUUAUGACAUUCGUUAAAAGUUCGGCUCAUUCAUGCCAUUGCCGUUACGAAACAGACCCAUUCAUGCCAUUACUUUUUAACAGCCGAUUUUUUUAAAAAUUUUUGCCACGUGACAUCUUAUUAGAGGUCCACGUUAUUAAGUACAAUAAAUUAAUUUUAAUUAAAAUAAAAAACAUGAGACCCAUUUAAUAUCCCAUCCAUUAAAUUACCCGAUCCACAUCCAUUCAAUAUUACUCUUCCGNNNNNNNNNNNNNNNNNNNNNNNNNNNNNNNNNNNNNNNNNNNNNNNNNNNNNNNNNNNNNNNNNNNNNNNNNNNNNNNNNNNNNNNNNNNNNNNNNNNNNNNNNNNNNNNUAUUCCAGAAUUGGUUAAUCUUAGGUAUAGGUCGGGCAUAAAAUAGCCGUCUGAAGACGAUUUUGGUUCUGCAUCUUAUACGGAUCCCGAGCUUUGUUUGAAUGCUAUAUGUGCUUUGUACCGUCAACAAAUUUCUAGAAACAAAUUCUCCUCGAUGAGUAAGAAUGACAAAAAAAGGUAUAUAUCAAUUUCUCGAUUGUUUUUUUUCUUUAGUUCAUGGAAAGACAAUCUUUGUAAUCUGUUUUUGCCUGCUUUUUCUUAAAGGAUUACUGCUUUAGGGGUGUUUCUGUGUGAUGAGGAUCGCGAAAACAAGCUCAAGAGAACAAUUUCGGAGGUUGGACCGGAAGAUCUUUGGAGAUGCAAGACACUGUCUAUUCAAUACUACUGCCAAAUAUAUGGGAUUUACAAUAGCAAGAAAGACCAUCUGUUCUGCCCCGGUGCUGCUAUCUGGAAAUUAAGCUCCAGUUGAUGCGAAGGCUGUCUGCUUGUCUCUAUGUGUACAAAUGCUCAAAACGAGGGUCUAGUUGUUGCACCAGACUCCGAGGGAGCUCGGCAAAAAGUUCUUAUACUAGACUUGCUUUGUUAGUAGGAACAAUUAGGUGCUUAUCGUUAAUCUGUUGGACUUCAAUGUAGUAAUUUGAUUAUGAAUUGCUAUAUUUAUAGAAUGGUUUGAGUACAAUUGAACAGUGGAGGCAUGUAAUGUAUCGUGACAUUAUUCGUACAGCUAUUCGAAAACAUGUUUGCUCGAUACAUAUUGUUGAGUCAUGGUAUUGGUAUACAGUUGCGGAAGCUAAAGAGCGAUUUUGUGUUUGAAUAACCCAGAAAAAAAAAGUUGAGCACAAAGAGAAUGAGUUAUUUAAUGAUAGCGUGGGAAGAUAAUGUGGUGAUAUUAAAUGGGUGUGGGUCGGAUAUUUAAUGGAUCGGGUAAUUUAGUGGAUGGGAUAUUAAAUGGGUCUCAUGUUUUUUAUUUUAAUUAAAAUUAAUUUAUUUUACUUAAUGACGUGGACCUCUAAUAAGAGGCCAUGUGACAAAGUUGUUUUUAAAAACUGGUUGUUAAAAAGUAAUGACAUAGAUGGACCGAUUUCGUAAUGGCGACGCAUGAAUAAACCGAACUUUUAACGGAUAAUAUAAAUGAACUAUUUCUGAUAGUUCAGUGCCAUAUUUAAGUCUUUUCCCUAAUCUUUUUAAUAUGUCCUUGAAUUUCAACUUGAAAAGAGAUAAAAUUUAAUGAAUAAAUUAGUAUAGUUACCUUUAGGAGUGACAAUUUCAGCCCAUAUUUGUGAAAAGAGUUCAUUUAACCCAUAUUUAGUGAAUUUGAUCAUUCAUAUUUCAAAUGGGUAAAUAUGGACUUCAACUCAUUUUAAAAGUUCAUAUAAAUAUGGACAAAAUGGAUAAAAUAUGUGUACCCAUUUAAACACAGAAAUCACCUACAUAUGCUUAAAGUUUCAGUUUUUUUUCUUUUCUAGUUUCUUUUCUUUUUCUUUUGCUUUUUUCCUUUAAUUUACUUUUUUUCUUUUUCAUUUUUUACUCAUUCCUUAUAAUUUCUUUUUUUCUUUCUAAUUUUUUCAUCUAUUUUUUUAUUUUUUUUAUUUUUUUUAUUUUUUUUCUUUGUAUUUUUUUUCGCUUUUCGCUUUCUCAUUCUUAUUUCAUCAUUCAUAUUCGUUUGAGACCUACAUGGGUUAGUAAAUAUAAGCUUCUAAUUAUCCCAUUUAGCCUAUACAAUUCAUAACAUCUCUUAUCAAUUAGAUAUAAUCCAUAGUCUCCUCCUUUAUUAUUAUUUUUUUCUAUCUUUUAUUUCUCUUUCUUUUUUUUUUUUUGCUUUUUUCUUUCUUUUUUCCUUUAAUUUAUUUUUUUUUCUUUUUCAUUUUUUUCACUUAUUUUUUACUCGUUUCUUACACUUUUUUUCUUUCUUCGUUUUCAUCAUUUUUUUCUUUUUCAAUUUUAUUUCCUUGUAUUCUUUUUUUUUUGUAUUUCCGUUUCCCCCUUUUUCAUUCUUGGUUCGUCAUUUUGUCAUUUUUCUUAUUUUUUAUAUUCUUUUCCUCAUAUUUUUUGUCAUUGCAUUUUAUAUUUUUUUACUUUGAAUUUAUUUGUAUUAUACUAUAUAUUUCAAAUAAAUUUAUUAUUUGUAUUUGAAUAGUUUAGUUGUCAAUAUGUGCAAUUUAUCAUUUGUAUUUAUAUACAAAUAAAUAUAUAAAUUAAAAUCAACAUGGGUUGUGGUGCAGUGGAUGAGACUGCUCCACCCUUAACCAGAGGUCGAGGGUACGACCCUGGUUAUGGAGAAAACUCUGUUGGGAGCGCUGCCACCUUAAUGGGCCCUGCAACUCCCGAUCCGGAUUAGUCGUGGCUCUAAUGCAGGCACCAGAUGAAAAAACAAAAAUAAAUAUAUGAAUUAAUUGUGUUUUCUUGAGAUUAAAAUAUAUAUGGUUGAGGAUCCACAUAGCCCUCGAAUUAUAAAUAUUGGGCGAAUAUAAAUCAAUAUGCGCUUAUGGUAUUUUCGUUAUCAUAAAAAAAAAAAGGAAACCAAAAAUAGAAAAAAAAAAAUAGAAAGAGAGAUCAAAGUUAGAGAUAAAAGAGAGAAAAAAGCGUAAAGAAAGAAUUGAAGAAAAAAAUAUAAAAAAAAUCAAAAAGAAAAAAUAAUGAAAAAGGAGAAAAGGAAAAAGAAAAAAGAUGAUGGUGAAAACAAAUAUACUGAGUGUUUACGAUAUUUUAGUCAUCAUCAAUAAUUUGUAUUCGACUUAACCAUGUUCUUCGAAAAUAAAAAAAAAUAUAAAACAUAAAAUACAACCAAAAAAGAAAAAAAUAAGAAAGAAGUAAAAAAAAAAGACUAAAAAGGAAAAGGAAAAAAAAGAAAAAAGAAAGACAAACAAAGGGUAGAGCGUAGAGAUAGAAGAGAGAAAAAAAAAAGAAAUGAGAAAAAAAUGAAAAAAGUAAAAAAAAAAAAAGAAAUUGAAAAAAAGUCAAGUUGUUAUGAUAUAGAAGUUUAAGUUUUUGACUUGGGAGUUAAAGUAGGUUGAAACCAUUUUUACCCAAUCCAUAUUUGACCAAAUCCAUAUUUACCCAUAUUUAUAUGAGCAGAUUGCAAUCCAAACCAUUUUUGCUCGAUCCAUAUUUAACCUGUUCAAAUCAAAUCCAAUCCGUCCGUUUGUCACCCCUAGUUACCUUUAAUUUUUUUUUUUAGAAGCAUUUACUUAUAAAUGAAGGGAGUAUUUUUUUGGACUACUUUAAUAAAUGAUCACUCACUUUUCAUUUUUGUAAUAUAAAAAUCAAUCAACUUUAUGUAAGUAUUCAAGAAAAGCUUCAACAUGACAAAAGUCCUUUAAUUAUUGCUUUGAGAUAUUGCAAUUAAGUAAUCAAUCAACUUUAUUUAAGUAUUGUAAAAAAGUUGUAUGCUGGGGUAGGUGAGGGCGGGUGGGGUGGGGUAGGCGUGAAAAUAGUCCUUCUUCGGAAUCGUGUCAGAACUCAAGAUCUACAUUGCAACCAGUCGUAUUUCUUAAGUAUAAUAUUAUUUCUCCCAUCCCAACACUAUCAUAAGAAAUAUCAAAAUUGAGGAGAAAGAUGGCAUGAAUGAACAAAGGAUGGGAGAUUUUAAGUGGAAAAAUCAAGAGCAUAGCAGAAAGAUGGGAGAUUUUGAGUGAUACGACCAACUAGGAAGGCUUACUUGACCCUUUGGAUUACCAUCUUCGCCGAUACCUCAUUCACUAUGGUCAAAUGCCUCAAGCCAUUGGCGAUUCAUUCAACAGUGAAACAGCUUCAAAGUAUUAUGGAACAAGUCGAUACUCCGAAAAGAACCUCUUCAAAAGUGUGGGAUUCGACAAAAACAACCCCUACAAAUAUGAAAUCACCAAAUAUUUCUAUGCAGCUUCAGAUGUAACAGAGAAGGUGAAAGAAUCAAAUUGGAUUUGUUGGUGUUGCCACUGAUGAGGGUAAAGUUGCAUUAGUCAGGAGAGAUAUUUUAAUUGCUUGGAGAGGUAC